This 72-nucleotide transfer RNA is filed under the name Danionella translucida. It matches the Rfam family "tRNA". From Rfam's summary of the family: Transfer RNA (tRNA) molecules are approximately 80 nucleotides in length. Their secondary structure includes four short double-helical elements and three loops (D, anti-codon, and T loops). RNAcentral also lists the same sequence under 1 other name. The record is from Rfam by way of RNAcentral. Lineage: Eukaryota; Metazoa; Chordata; Actinopteri; Cypriniformes; Danionidae.
GGUUCUAUGGUGUAAUGGUUAGCACGCUGGACUCUGAAUCCAGCAAUCUGAGUUCAAAUCUUGAUAGGACAU